This 256-nucleotide ribosomal RNA is filed under the name uncultured bacterium. Its description in RNAcentral is "partial 16S ribosomal RNA". It matches the Rfam family "Bacterial small subunit ribosomal RNA", at positions 524 to 776 of the family's 1533-position model. The record is from RNAcentral.
UACGUAGGGUGCAAGCGUUAUCCGGAAUUAUUGGGCGUAAAGAGCUCGUAGGCGGUUUGUCGCGUCUGCUGUGAAAACCCGAGGCUCAACCUCGGGCCUGCAGUGGGUACGGGCAGACUAGAGUGCGGUAGGGGAGAUUGGAAUUGCCUGGUGUAGCGGUGGAAUGCGCAGAUAAUCAGGAGGAACACCGAUGGCGAAGGCAGAUCUCUGGGCCGUCAACUGACGCUGAGGAGCGAAAGCGUGGGGAGCGAACAGG